UAAUACGUAGGGGGCUAGCGUUGUCCGGAAUCAUUGGGCGUAAAGCGCGCGUAGGCGGCCAGAUAAGUCCGGUGUGAAAGUCACAGGCUCAACCUGUGAAUGCCGCUGGAAACUGUCUGGCUUGAGUCCGGAAGGGGCGAGUGGAAUUCCUGGUGUAGCGGUGAAAUGCGCAGAUAUCAGGAGGAACACCAAUGGCGAAGGCAGCUCGCUGGAACGGUACUGACGCUGAGGCGCGAAAGCGUGGGGAGCAAACAGGAUUAGAUACCCUGGUAGUCCACGCCCUAAACGAUGUCAACUGGUUGUCGGGGAAGUAAUUCCUUGGUAACGAAGCUAACGCGUGAAGUUGACCGCCUGGGGAGUACGGCCGCAAGGCUA
This 375-nucleotide ribosomal RNA is filed under the name uncultured bacterium. RNAcentral's name for it is "bacterial SSU rRNA". It matches the Rfam family "Bacterial small subunit ribosomal RNA", at positions 521 to 896 of the family's 1533-position model. The record is from RNAcentral.